GGACCGCAGGCUCUGUCGCCCACCCGGCCCAGCAAGCUAUGUGCCCUCCAGGAGUGGCAGAUGCCCGUGAGCAGACAUGAGCCCAGCCCAGCCUGGACGAGCGCUGUGGGUGAAUAAUGGAUGCCAUCCUAGCGCGGGCAGUGCUGUGCUCACGUGGCCAGCCAGGCCCAGGCCACCUGCACAGUGGCCAGUGAGGGUGGGGCUGAGAGACACCCAGUGAAUGGGCUGUGGCCAGGUCCCUGCAUCACCCGGGCCCAGGGUACAGCUUGCAAGAGCCCUGAGGCCAGGGUCGAGGUUGAGGACAGCAGGGCGGGCUCGCAGCCGAGUGGCCCCUGGGACAGGGGAGGAGGCCACUGUGAGCCGCCAUUGAGACUUUUAUUGGAGUGAAAUGGGGGCUCAGGCGGCUGAUGGAGGAGGCAUGUGACCUACAUAAGGUUUUCAAAAGAUUGUUUGCUGGAUGGGGGCUCUGAUGCCAGGGGAGCUGGGUACGGGUCCCAGCGAGAGGAGACCACCUCGAUCUGAGCAGGUGGUGGCUGGGAGGGCAGGAAGCAUUAGAGCCAGGUGUGGCUGGAAGGCCCAACCACAUGGGUUUGCUGACUGAUCCGCUGUUGGGGCGGAGGCACAUUUAUGAAAAGGGGAAGGACUCGGGUUGAGCCCUCCUGCCCCUCACUGCCAUCCUCCCCAUGCACACCACAGUCUGAACUCCCUCGAGGCAGAGAGCCCUGGCCUCUGCACUUGCACACUGACUCACGCAGAGCCUGGGGCUGCCUGGGCCUGAUGGAGCUGGCAGGCAGGGACUGUCUUUUUCCUGGAGGACUUCCUGGUGGAGGCCUGCUGCAGUUGGAGGCCUGAAGCACAGCGGACAGCCCCAGGCGUGUGUGGCACACCCAACACCCCCAUCCUUCCCAUGAGCCAGGACAUGGCCCGGGGGGCCUCUCUCCGAGGGAAGUGUGCCACCAUCAGGACGUGGGGUUCAGGAAGCAGCCCAGGCUGAAUGGAGGAGAAUGGAGGCAGGAAGGCCAGGAAGAAGUUGAAGCUGCCUUCCCAGCGACAGGUGAGGCUGGGGGCUCGGCUGAGCCGCACCAGAGGAUCGCGCAGGGCCUGGGGGCUGUCCACCUAGGCAUGGAGAACAGGCCCGGAGGAGAGGGCCACAAGCCCAGCAGUGAGUUUAGGAGCCCUAGAGCCCAGAGCCACCGUCCCAGGCCAGAGCUGAGCACCUGCUGGGAUUUGUGCCUGCUGGAAGAUGCCCUCCUCAGAUCCCCUCACCCCUGUCCCAGGGCCUACCACCCCAUCACCCACACUGAGCCAUGAGGGGUCAGAACAGACAUGGGCUGUGGUCCGGCAGCUGCCCGCACCCCUAUGCACAGAGCCACGGGGCAGAGGGGAGCCUCCAUCUGGGCCAACAGGGCCCAUCUCAGGCAAUGAGAACAGGAGGGGAGGUGGGGCUGAGGCCUGGGGUGGAGGGCUUAAAAGGGCUUCCCAGAGAGGGCCACAGCUGAGUCGGGUCUCAGAGCAGAAGUGCAUGGCCAGUGCGGGCAGCGGGGGUGGGAGGUGGGACCUGAGGACCCUGGGUAGAGGCCGUGGCGGGCAGAGGCCAGCAGCCAAUCAGAGCUGGCAGCUCACAGACAGCCCCUGGGGAUGGUCUGGGCCCGCAUGCCCAGAGGGAGGCCGGUGUGAGAACAGCUGGGUGAGCCAGCCCGAACGUGCCUCCCUCUCGGCCCCCACCCUCACCCAGAUCUCGCUGCCAUCUGAGCAGGAAGGGAGCUGGGAUCUGAGAUUGGGCCUCCACAGACUCAGAUGCUGCAGGGGUGGGCCCCACCCGGCAAAUGGGAGACCAACACCAGAGAACCAGCUGCCCUGCUCGGCCCUGACCCAACCUCGAGAGCCCAUCUCUCUCUGGAGGCGGCUCCGGCCCCACCAUUCCGGCCCCUGCCCAUAUCUGGGGCAGAUCAGCUGGGGAGGGACAGGGACAAGAGUCGUGCUAAUCUCUGCGUCUCCUGGGACGGCCCCGCCAGGUUUGCAGCGGGUGGGGGGUGGUGAGCAGGGUAGGAUUUCCAGUUGGCCCCAUCCCAGGCGCCGACACCUGCUUCGGGCGCGACGAGUCCAUUCUGCUCCUGUCAGAGAUAACACCUCCAGCGCUCACCGGCUGUCCAGGGAACAAGGGCUGGCACUGGCUCGAGCCAGGCAGAGAGGUGGGCAUGGUGGGCCAGGGCCCAGGGGAGGGCCAGUUGGAAGUGAUAACCUCCCCUUCCUGCCUUCCAUCAGGGGGCCCAGAGGGAGGGGCAUGGGGUGGGAGUGGAGCAGGCUUGGGGGACCCAAGGGGUCCCUUCCUCUCCAGGACACAAGCCACCUUGGACACAACCGGCCCCUCCCUCAUCCCCCAGUCAAACAAGGUGGCCAGAGAGGACGUGGGGGAAGGAGGUGGAGGCCUGGGCCAACUCCCCAGAUCCCCCAGCUCCUGCCUGACUCUUGGCCAUCUGCCCAGCCGUGGGAAGAGAGGGCCACAAGCAUCUUUUGGUGGUGCCAUAAGUGCCCCCUGACAGUAGCCUGAGUUUCCCAUGCUUUGAGAUGGGGUGGUGGGGAGGGACUGACCUGUCCCUAGGUCCGCACCAUCUCUGGGUCUUUGGACACAAGUGUGUGGGUAACCACGCUUCUGCAUGGCAUAGAGCUGGCUUUGGGUAAAGUCCCUAUCCCUGUGGUCCAGUCUGAGAGGUGGCUGGUCACAGUCACCCCGACCCCCCGCCUCGGAGGCUUGGGUUCCCCCAAUAAACUGGGCCGCCAUCA
Homo sapiens (human) is the source of this 2784-nucleotide long non-coding RNA. RefSeq lists it as uncharacterized. The transcript is spliced from 2 exons. Lineage: Eukaryota; Metazoa; Chordata; Mammalia; Primates; Hominidae. The record is from RefSeq and is a predicted model, not a curated record.